This 484-nucleotide ribosomal RNA is filed under the name uncultured bacterium. Its description in RNAcentral is "partial 16S ribosomal RNA". It matches the Rfam family "Bacterial small subunit ribosomal RNA", at positions 30 to 507 of the family's 1533-position model. The record is from RNAcentral.
AUUGAACGCUGGCGGCAGGCCUAACACAUGCAAGUCGAGCGGAUGAAGGGAGCUUGCUCCUGGAUUCAGCGGCGGACGGGUGAGUAAUGCCUAGGAAUCUGCCUGGUAGUGGGGGAUAACGUCCGGAAACGGGCGCUAAUACCGCAUACGUCCUGAGGGGGAAAGUGGGGGAUCUUCGGACCUCACGCUAUCAGAUGAGCCUAGGUCGGAUUAGCUAGUUGGUGGGGUAAAGGCCUACCAAGGCGACGAUCCGUAACUGGUCUGAGAGGAUGAUCAGUCACACUGGAACUGAGACACGGUCCAGACUCCUACGGGAGGCAGCAGUGGGGAAUAUUGGACAAUGGGCGAAAGCCUGAUCCAGCCAUGCCGCGUGUGUGAAGAAGGUCUUCGGAUUGUAAAGCACUUUAAGUUGGGAGGAAGAGCAGUAAGUUAAUACCUUGCUGUUUUGACGUUACCAACAGAAUAAGCACCGGCUAACUUCGUG